This 622-nucleotide ribosomal RNA is filed under the name Flavobacteriaceae bacterium Se2Ps_2324. RNAcentral describes it as "bacterial SSU rRNA". It matches the Rfam family "Bacterial small subunit ribosomal RNA", at positions 395 to 1019 of the family's 1533-position model. The record is from RNAcentral. Lineage: Bacteria; Pseudomonadati; Bacteroidota; Flavobacteriia; Flavobacteriales; Flavobacteriaceae.
UGCCGCGUGCGUGAUGACGGUCCUCUGAAUUGUAAACUGCUUUUGUGGAAAAAAAGCACUCCUACUUGUAGGAUCUUGACGGGAUCUUACCAAUAAAGAUCGGCUAACUCCGUGCCGGCCCCCCCGGUAAUACAGAAGAUCCGGGCGUUACCCUGAAUCAUUGUGUUGAAAGGGUCCCUAGGCGGUUUAGUAAGUCAGUGGUGAAGUCCCAUCGCUCGGCGGUGGAACGGCCCUUGAUACUGCUAAGCUUAAAUUAUUAAGAAGUAACUAGGAUAUGUUUUGUAGCGGUGAAAUGCUUAGAGAUUACAUGGAAUACCAAUUGCGAAGGCAGGUUACUACUAAGGGAUUGACGCUAAUGGACGAAAGCGUGGGUAGCGAACAGGAUUAGAUACCCUGGUAGUCCACGCCGUACACGAUGGAUACUAGCUGUUGGAAGCAAUUUCAGUGGCUAAUCGAAAGUGAUAAGUAUCCCACCUGGGGAGUACGUUCGCAAGAAUGAAACUCAAAGGAAUUGACGGGGGCCCGCACAAGCGGUGGAGCAUGUGGUAUAAUUCGAUGAUACUCGAGGAACCUUACCAAGGCUUACAUGUACUUUGACCGAUUUGGAAACAGAUCUUUCGCA